This 385-nucleotide ribosomal RNA is filed under the name uncultured eukaryote. RNAcentral describes it as "SSU rRNA". It matches the Rfam family "Eukaryotic small subunit ribosomal RNA", at positions 587 to 972 of the family's 1831-position model. The record is from RNAcentral.
AGCUCUGUAAGCGUAUACCAAAGUUGUUGCAGUUAAAACGCUCGUAGUCGAAUUUUGACGUUAUGCUUCUUUAGACCCCUGAUGGGUGUCUGAAGUUUUGCUGCGUCUUUGUGGAUUUAGAAUGCUUGGUGAUGCUUAAUUGUAUUGCUGCAUUUUUGCCACUGUUUACUGUGAAAAAAUUAGAGUGCUUAAAGCGAGCGAUUUGCCAUGAAUAGAUUAGCAUGGAAUAAUAGAAUAGGACCUGGUUCUGUUUCUAUUGGUUUGUCAGUUUCAGGUAAUGAUUAAGAGGGACGGUCGGGGGCAUUUGUAUUCCAGGGUUAGAGGUGAAAUUCUUAGAUCCUUGGAAGACACACAGCUGCGAAAGCGUCUGCCAAGGACGUUUUCA